GCCUGGCUGGCUCAGUCAGUAGAGCAUGAGACUCUUGUUCUUGGGGUUGUGAGUUCAUGCCCGUGUCAGGUG
RNAcentral lists this transfer RNA (72 nucleotides) under Felis catus (domestic cat). It matches the Rfam family "tRNA". From Rfam's summary of the family: Transfer RNA (tRNA) molecules are approximately 80 nucleotides in length. Lineage: Eukaryota; Metazoa; Chordata; Mammalia; Carnivora; Felidae. The record is from Rfam by way of RNAcentral.